Molecule: ribosomal RNA, 498 nt
Filed under: uncultured bacterium
Lineage: Bacteria
Description: partial 16S ribosomal RNA
Rfam family: Bacterial small subunit ribosomal RNA
Source: RNAcentral
AUUGAACGCUGGCGGCAUGCCUUACACAUGCAAGUCGAACGGUAACAGGUCUUCGGAUGCUGACGAUUGGCGAGCGGGUGAGUAAUACAUCGGAACGUGCCUAGUAGUGGGGGAUAACUACUCGAAAGAGUGGCUAAUACCGCAUGAGAUCUACGGAUGAAAGCAGGGGAUCGCAAGACCACGUGUUCCUAGACCGGCCGAUGGCAGAUUAGGUAGUUGGUGGGAUAAAAGCUUACCAGGCCGACGAGCUGUAGCUGGUCUGGGAGGACGAGCAGCCACACUGGGACUGAGACACGGCCCAGACUCCUACGGGAGGCAGCAGUGGGGAAUUUUGGACAAUGGGCGCAAGCCUGAUCCAGCAAUGCCGCGUGCAGGAUGAAGGCCUUCGGGUUGUAAACUGCUUUUGUACGGAACGAAAAGCCCCGGGUUAAUACCCUGGGGUCAUGACGGUACCGUAAGAAUAAGCACCGGCUAACUACGUGCCAGCCGCCGCAGUAA